RNAcentral lists this ribosomal RNA (220 nucleotides) under uncultured bacterium. Its description in RNAcentral is "partial 16S ribosomal RNA". It matches the Rfam family "Bacterial small subunit ribosomal RNA", at positions 111 to 334 of the family's 1533-position model. The record is from RNAcentral.
UAAUGUAUGGGGAUCUGCCCGAUAGAGGGGGAUAACUACUGGAAACGGUGGCUAAUACCGCAUAAUGUCUACGGACCAAAGCAGGGGCUCUUCGGACCUUGCACUAUCGGAUGAACCCAUAUGGGAUUAGCUAGUAGGUGGGGUAAAGGCUCACCUAGGCGACGAUCUCUAGCUGGUCUGAGAAGAUGAUCAGCCACACUGGGACUGAGACGCGGCCCAG